UUUUCAUUUACCCGACCCCGUGCAUCUGAUAAAUCCCUAACCCCUUCCCUCCCUUUUUUUCCCCUAAAUCGAAAAUCCACCUCCACCGAUCCACCAUUCCACCUCCGGUCCUCCACGACUCCACCUCCACUCUAACGGUGCUUUUAGCCUUCUACGUCUUCUACCUUUGAAUUUCAAAGGGGGGAUUUAAUUUCUGCUAUUUGACUACUACCUUGGUAGUCACAAGAAUGGUUGAAAGAUGAACUUCUUAGGCAAUUAGUCACUCACUUUUUUAAGCCAUGCCCUUAGCACCAAGACUACUGGCCCUUCCUGCAAGAGCAGAAAGAUCCAUUCUUUACCCCUCCUUCAAGGACAAGAGAUGGGGAUGAACGCUCGCUUAUUCGAUUCGUCCUUUAUCUAAGUUCAUUUGUGAUGAAAUCUUUUCCUACCCUGAGCUCAUUAGAUGGUAAUGUUCAGUGCUACAUGGCCUGCAGAGGUUCAUCGGUUAGCUCAAGAGUACAUGGACCCUAAUCCUGUUAAGGUUGUGAUUGGCUCAGAAGAUUUAGCUGCCAACCAUGACGUUAUGCAGAUAAUUGAAGUCUGAUUUUAUUUAACCGGUUAAAUUGUCUUUCAUAUUAACUUAUUUUGUAUAUAUAUAAAUGUUUUUAUUAACAGUUUGUUUUCUUAUGUAGGUUUUAGAUAAUUGUGCACGUUAUGAGCGAUUGACUACAUUUAAAAUUUCUCUUCAUUAGCUAAAUAGAAUAGGCAGCAUUUAAAAUUUGCACUCUGUAUGUGUGUGUUCUCUAACAUUUUAAUUGGGCCUCAUUUAAAUAAAUAAGUUUGCAGAUCCUUUCAUUCCUUAAAUUUAAA
Long non-coding RNA from Gossypium raimondii (Peruvian cotton), 849 nucleotides. RefSeq lists it as uncharacterized. The record is from RefSeq and is a predicted model, not a curated record. The transcript has 4 exons. Lineage: Eukaryota; Viridiplantae; Streptophyta; Magnoliopsida; Malvales; Malvaceae.